This is a non-coding RNA of Mycena haematopus, 114 nucleotides long. The record is from the annotation of a GenBank genome assembly. Lineage: Eukaryota; Fungi; Basidiomycota; Agaricomycetes; Agaricales; Mycenaceae.
GGCCUGAUGGUCUAGUAGUAUGAUUCCUUGUUAGGGAUGUCGGCAGCUCUAGCAAUUGAACUGGUUGUCACGUGACUCUCGAGGAGGUCCCGGGUUCAAUUCCCGGUUAGGCCC